GCCGACGCCACCUCCGUCUCCGCCGGGACACCCGCCGACGUCGCCGUAGCCACAGCAGGAAAUGACCCGCUCUUUCCACUGCUGCUAUCAGAAUCUGUAACCACAUUUAAAUUAUGGACAAAACACACAAAACGGUUAUUAAUUAAAGAUGAUUCGUCGCCACUGAGUCGACCUGAAGUUCGUGCUGACCAAAGUCAUCGGGUUUUACGUUCUAUCGGCAAUGGAGGGUGUUGCAGUAGCAACCCACUGGCACCAGAGGACGCGGCGUUCGAAGCCCUCCACGACGAUGACGUCAGCGAGACGAUGCUUCGGCUGGCGGGCCUCCUGUCUUGUAAGCCUGCCUGGUGAGCGGCACGUCGCACUUCCACACACAGCUCAGAUGCUCUUCCGCCGGUGCUGUCCUACAUCCUGCAAGCUAAUGCUCUCCAAGGUGUCCGCUUUUGGUCGUCCGAGGUGCAGUCCGCGAUGUACUUAUACCCGGACAUGUUUACUGUAGACAUUGCACCAAUUGGCGCACGCGUCCAGAUGUUCCUGCCGUGUCCUAGCUAUAAAGAGCGCCUGCGGCCAAGCAACUCCCGGACCAUCAGCCACCGAGGGCCCUCCAGCGCCCUCUGGGUCAGCGCCGCCUCAUUAGCGCAGACGACGACCGCGGCGGCGGGGGCGGCGGCGGGGGCGGCCGGAGUCGUGCAGCGGGCGCCGCCUCCACUCUCCGCUCCGUCCUGGUCACCGCACACCAUCUGACGUCACCAUCAGGUGUAUCAGGCGAGAAUGGCAGGGAUAUCACCGACGAAAGGACGAGCCCCGUCUGCCUUCAGUGCCUUGGAAGGACGACGAAAGAAUGACGAUCCUGGAGUACCCAGCUGUUGCAUGCGCAGCAACUACAGAAUUCUGGAGACCCGUAGAAGGAGCCCAACACACAGAAGAAGUGUGGGUGAUUAGAACCUUGGAAUGCAGCGGCUGCAGCAAACUGGGAUACAUCGCCAUCGCCUGCCACGGCAACAUAUGGAUAAAGACCUGGUCAGCUGGAGAACACUGACUGACGUUAAUAUGAAGUAAAGAACCUAUCUCUAACAGAGCGCCGCAACGCACCGACGGCCGGAUAUUCGUCGCUUCCGCCAGAGAUAGUAACCCGCCGCCGCCACCACACACUAGCCGACGUGCACCGCGGGCAGGAGGAUCCAGCUGAUGACUGUUGCUGCUCACUGCUGUCGAUUGCUUUAUUUACAAAAGUAAUUGUAAUUGAAAAACAUAUGAAUAUCGUUGUGUUAAUUGACUAAUAUGUAAGGAGACUAUGUAACAAUAAGGUGACGACGUCUUGCUGUCAGCAUCUGUUAUAUUAUUACCACGUUGUACUAACGUCAGCAGGAAGUGAACAGUAUUUUGUUGCACUUCCCAUUUAAAAAGCGUACAGUGAUUAUUUAUUUUGCUCAGGUUUAUUGAAAAUUAUUUUCCUUUUUUGAGUGCGGCUUACUGCACAAAUUG
Molecule: long non-coding RNA, 1482 nt
Organism: Schistocerca cancellata (South American locust)
Lineage: Eukaryota; Metazoa; Arthropoda; Insecta; Orthoptera; Acrididae
Exons: 11
Source: RefSeq, a predicted model, not a curated record